GGGCAGAGGGAGCGGCGACUUGGAGGGAAGGGGAGUUUGAACAGGAAGGGAAGGAGGUAACUCAGACAGCCUCCAUGUCUCGUGGACACGGGCAGAGCGUCGCGGCGCCUUUCUAGAAGGCAGGAGUCCGGUGCCCUUCCCUGAACGCAGGGACUCCAGAUACCGCCGUGGCGUACAGUACCUUACUUUGUAGACCUGGUUUUAUGGUGAUGGAGUGUGCCACCAGAUCUGGUGUCACUUUCGCGAAUUAGGAACCAAGCAUGCGAUGUAAGGGGCAUAAGGUACACCGAGGAGUGAAUCAGUCUGCAUCUUGGGACUGGCCGGCAGCGGAGCCUCGGAGACCGGCUCCCCAGCGCGGUAAACAGGUGCACGUUGGCUGCACCUCCACGGGCUCGGCCCCUGUCUCCGUUCCGGUUAGUGGGAUGAUGCUGGCAGUGACUCACUUUCCUCUCCCUCUCUGGAGGCUCUCUCCCGAAUGAAGAGCCAGUGAUAGGCUACUUCCUCUAGAGCCUGGUCCGGUGGGGCGGGAGAACAAAAGGCCACUGCUUGCGCAGGACCCUUGCGCCCUGGUCUCCCCUCCCCCGCACCUGGCCCCAAACGUUGCGGCAAAACGCUUAUAAACUGGUCCGCUCCACGCGAGGAGGAAAACGCGCGGAGAUCUCUUGUAGCCCGUCUUCAUCUCUCCCAACCCCCGCGACAGCCCGGCUCCGGGUGCGGGACUGCUCCGCACCCUCGCGAACAGCGCGCGGAUCCCGGUGCAUCGCCCGCCGCUGGGUUUCGGCCCAACUGUGCUCGCACUAGACUCGAGUGCAUAUGGCGGCAAAAGGAAUUUCGCGGUAAGCGCGUCACGCCGCGAACUGCCUUUCACAAGCUGCCUCGGGCCGAGGAAGGUGGCGCUUACUCCAGCCCUUUGUGUCUCGCUCUGCGGCGUGGACCCGGGUUCUCACCAGCCUGUUCCAUCGGUGGGAAGCACACUGGCUUGGGGAUCGCGUACUUGUCUCAGACGUUUAGACGGUGUCGUACGUGGAAGAGAGGAAAGGACCCACUGCUAGAAAACGGGGUCUCAGGCAUCUGUAUUUGCUGCUGUCUGCUACUAAAGAGCCUCAGAACGGAAGAAAUUUGGGUUGACUUUUGACUGCGGACACCGAAUAUGAUGCAUUUCAAAAGUGGCCUCGAGCUAACGGAGCUGCAGAACAUGACGGUGCCCGAAGAUGACAACGUCAGCAACGACUCUAAUGACUUCACAGAAGUAGAAAACGGCCAGAUAAAUAGCAAGUUCAUCUCAGAUCGGGAGAGUAGGAGGAGUCUCACAAACAGCCAUCUGGAGAAAAGGAAAUGCGACGAGUAUAUUCCAGGAACAACCUCCCUGGGAAUGUCUGUCUUUAACCUGAGCAACGCCAUCAUGGGCAGUGGAAUCUUGGGCCUUGCCUUCGCCUUGGCCAACACCGGGAUCCUCCUCUUUCUGAUACUUCUGACUUCGGUGACACUGCUGUCUAUAUAUUCAAUAAACCUACUGCUGAUCUGUUCCAAGGAAACCGGCUGCAUGGUGUAUGAGAAGCUGGGAGAGCAAGUCUUCGGCACCACGGGGAAGCUGGUGAUCUUCGGAGCCACCUCUCUGCAGAACACUGGGGCGAUGCUGAGCUACCUCUUCAUAGUAAAAAACGAACUUCCUUCAGCCAUAAAAUCCCUCAUGGGAGAGGAGGAUGCAUUUUCAGCCUGGUACGUCGAUGGCCGAGUGUUGGUGGUGAUGGUGACCUUUGGCAUAAUCCUUCCGCUGUGUCUCUUGAAGAACCUGGGGUAUCUUGGCUACACGAGUGGGUUUUCCCUAAGCUGCAUGAUGUUUUUCCUAAUAGUGGUCAUCUACAAGAAAUUUCAGACUCCCUGCAUGAGUGUGGAGCAGAACUCGACAGUCAGUGCUAAUGUGACCGACGCGUGCACACCAAAGUAUGUCACCUUCAACUCAAAGACGGUGUAUGCUUUACCAACCAUCGCCUUCGCGUUUGUCUGCCACCCGUCCGUCCUGCCAAUCUACAGCGAGCUCAAAGACCGGUCACAGAAGAAAAUGCAGAUGGUUUCCAACAUCUCCUUCUUUGCUAUGUUUGUCAUGUACUUCCUGACGGCCAUCUUUGGGUACUUGACGUUUUAUGGUAAGUUACUUCCGCUGGCCAUGCCUAUCUGUACUUAAGAACAACGGGAAAACGCAACACUGAAGUAACUUUCCAUUGAAGCCAAAGAGUAAACAAAAGAUCCAUGUUUUCUGUUCUGGUUUUGUGUUUUGUUUUUCCUUAUAGCAAAUGACAAUGGUUUCUUCCAUGUUCGUUCAAGCUGUAUAGCAUAAUGAUUACUGAAAAUAAUAGAAAUGCUUUUUUCCCCCCUCUGGAGCUUUGUUCUUCAGAGAAAUUGCAUUUUAGAAGCAUGCCAUCUUAGGGAAAUUUAAAAUGACAUCAGAGAAGGCUUUUCCUACUUGACACUGCAAACUGGGUCAGACUCCAUUAAUAGAAAAGAGAGAGAGAAAGUGAGACACUCUGAAAGUGAGAAAGAGCGGAGCCCACACUCAUGACAAUCAACGUUAAUUAAAAAUAAAGCACCUAAUUGUUCGCCGGAACUUGGUGCCCCGCAGGGAAGCAAAGCGAUGACAUAAGGAAGAAGCAAAAGUUGAGAGAGAAAGUGCUUCCUGUUCGUGCCGCAGGCCCUGUCAGGAUGGCAGCUGGCCUUUCCUGCCAGGGGCUUCUCACCCACGGCCUUGUGGUUUUGAGAGCUAUUUAAAUAGAUUCUAUUAUCCUUUCUAUCGAAUGCUUCCCCUCACCAUGGAGUAAUCUAAAAUUUAAACAGGUUUACAGGUUCCUUUAGCCUGGAGAAGGUCAUUGAUUUCAGAAGCGUCUGGAUAGCACUGCCAAAUGAGUUGGUAACCAUCGCCUUUCCUGUUUUUAUAAAAAUGCCGUUCUGGGGUUUCCUGUACCUCAGGGCUGAGUGGGGAGGGUAGAAGAGAGAGCUAGCAUCUGCAGCCUGAGUGACCUUGUUCAAGUUAUGAGUACAUUUUUUUUCAACGGGAGCAGAACCUUGGUCCGUUUAUAUGGUUAGAGGGGGAAUCCCAGCUAUUUAUAGGUGGCUAAUGCCUUUUGAUGUGGAGAGCCGUGAGCAAUUGCCAUCAUGAGCCUCCGCUGUGCCUAACUGGUAAACAAGUAAUGUGCGCAGGUGCAAGAGUAAAUUCGUGCCAAGUUACUGCCCAUCCCAGGGCGUAGUAGUGGGGUAAUGAGUGAGCAGCUAAUCAGGAGCUGACAUGUCACAUGGACGAGUAUAUAAGCAGCAACAUUUUCCUUGUUCGUGGUUAUUCUUCUUUCGCCUAUGCAAUCAAUGCUCUCCCAAUAAACGUGUGCAGAAGGAUCCUGUAGCAGCAUCGUUCUUCCUGGCCAGUAGAACGCUUGUAAGAGUUGGUGCCGAAACCCGGGACGAGAAGACCUGGGACGAGAAACCCGGGACGAAAAGACCUGGGACGAGAAAACCUGGGACGAGAAAACCCGGGACAGGACGGUUACCAUCACUGGCGCAGGGAAGAUCCCUCAUUCCGGAACCAGAACUGCGGGUCAUGGUAAUGAAGUGUUCCCGUAAAACAGACUGUUGAGAAGGAUCCAGCGUGGAUUCAGAACUCUUCAGCUGGGGAAUGGUGGUAAUGAAGUGUUCCCGCAACACAGACUGUUGAGAAGGAUUCAACUUCGUGGAUUCAGAACUCUUCAGCUGGGGAACAGGGGUACCCGUAAGUAAAAGGAAAUUAAUGUGAGUCUCUGAGAGGUAUGCUUUCUUACGCAGUAGGUCCGGUACUUGUUGUUAGGGUGGUGUUGCUUGCUUUCUUUCUUAGCCUUGAUAUUAUGCUAUUGCCUUAAUUUUUCAUCACCCUGGACACGAGUGUAUCUGCUGGGGGUAGCUCGGUAGACACAUAAGAUCAUAAAGCAAGUGUAGAUAAACUUGUGGAUCGACCUUGGGGCUAAGAACCUCACAUAGAUAAGUGAGUACCUCAAGGAUGCUUUAUCCAGGACAAGAAAUGUGAGCUAGCUGUUAAGGAAGGGCAAUGACUUUUGCAGGAGCACCAGGGAAGCAUAUCAGAAACAGAGAGAAAGGAAAAAGAAGGCACGUGCAGAAAAAUAAGUAAGAAUUAUAUAUUUAAAAAAAUGAAAAUAAGGUAUUUCAGAGCUCUCCUAGGGACAGAAGAAAAACGGGAGACGUCCUGCUCUGGCUCCUAUGGAGAUAUUUUUAGCUUUGGAUAUUUGUGUCUCUUUGAGACCCCAAGUUUUAUUCCCUGUCUGGCUAUUGUCUGUUUUUGGUGUAUGAUUAUUGUUUUGUGUUUUAUGUUGAAAAAUAUAACUGGUUACGGACCUUCUGUUCGGGGAUUUGGAGAGAGAUUAGAUUCUCCUUGCUGGGAUGUCCUAUUUUCACUGAUCAAGCUGAAUUUGCAUGGGAUAGAGAUAUGCUGCUUGAUCAAGGUUGAUUUGCACAACAACAGACAGGAUAUCCAGUGCAGGUAUUUGAGCAGGUGAAUCAGAUUGCCAUAAGGGUGUGGAAAUCAUUGCCCACCGGUGUUGACAGUGUUGUAGAACUCCAGAGAGACAAUGAGGCACUGAAUCAGGUGAGAGAGGAGCGCUCUCAAUUGGUUUGGGAGAGAGGGUCUGUUUGUGUUUCCUCAGGAUCAUUGACAACAGCUGCAGGUCCCGGAGAGGCUGACCAGAGCAAUUCAGGGCAGGUGGAGCUGUGAGGACGUGGAUGUUCCUGUGGCUGGAGGUGCUCCCGCUAGUGAAAACUGAAGAGCUCCGUGUUCCUGAAACCUAUGCCGUUGACGAAUUCGGAAAAGGUGCAGUCAGAUCUCCUUCACAAGUACCAGAGCACAGGCGACAUUCUCAUCCUAACCGUGCGGCUGGCCGUCAUCGUGGCCGUCAUCCUCACCGUGCCUGUGCUGUUUUUCACAGUUCGAUCAUCGUUAUUUGAGCUGGCCAAGAAGACAAAGUUCCACCUGUGCCGCCAUGUCUUGGUGACCAUCAUACUCUUGAUCAUUAUCAACCUGUUGGUGAUCUUCAUCCCCUCCAUGAAGGAUAUCUUUGGAGUCGUAGGAGUCACGUCUGCUAAUAUGCUCAUUUUCAUUCUUCCUUCGUCUCUUUAUUUAAAAAUCACGAACCAGGACGGAGAUAAAGGCACUCAAAGAAUUUGGGCGGCCCUUUUCUUGGGCUUGGGGGUGUUGUUCUCCUUGAUCAGCAUCCCUCUGGUCAUCUACGACUGGGCUUGCUCCUCUGGCACCGACGAAGGCCACUGAAGCCCGCAGCCACACCCAGCAUCCGCCCACACCCAUCCAGCCCCCAUCAGCAGCCCACCGCCACUUCUUUUGCAAGUUUACAGAAACAGAAACGCACAGGGUUCCUCUCGGGUUGCCACACAGAGACUCACUGCUUCUAGAAGGACCCGCGUCCUCUCGGGACCUACACUUUGGGACCGUGGAUUUCUGCUUCUCCAGAUUUCGUGCCGCCAUCUUGUCCAGCCCUUCCCACAGUUCUCCUCCCGUCUCCUCAUUGUUGUGGCUUCUCUCUCUCUCCCUCUCAGAACUAUGGAAACACGAUCAACAGUUGUCUUCACUUGUUAGAUACCCAGCUCCUGAAAUCGUUUUCCUAACUGACGCUCCGCUCACGCUGUCUGCAUCUUUUUAGAAGAAGAGAAAAUAAUCUUGAAUUGUAUAUAUUUAUUUUGCUUUACAGAAAAAAAAUAAGGUUUCAGAAAAAAAAAAAGGUUUCAUAAAUAAUUUGCCUAUUUUGGUUAACAUAGCACACAGGGAUAAUCCUUUUGAGAGACAGGUUGCGUGCCAUGGCUGCAUCUGAGCAUGCCCAAUAUUUGAGGCAGCUCUGAUCACCCGACAUGGACUGUCCGAGGGCUGCUGGUACUCCAUCCUGCUCCCAUGUGGAGCGAUUCCCUGGGAGGCUUGGGCACGGCGCCUCUGUAUAUAUAUAUUAAUUAUAUAUUAAAACAAACACUCCGGAGAUCUCAGGAACAAUGGUUUGUUUCCCUCUUGGCAUCUGGCAUCACAGUUACUCUAGGCUGAGUCACCUGCCUGAGGUCCCUUGGUUCCCAUGAUGACAAAUGAGACUGCCCAAAUGCCUAAGGACGUACUCCUUAGCCAGACCACCUUCAGCCCACACCCGUAUUGUUGAAGGGGGAAAUGAUUUGUUAGUUUAUAAGCCCGGCAGCAUCGAGUCAUGUCCACCAGCUUUCUGCAACAGAGAUGAACAUGUACCUAAGGACGGCCUGGGAUAGGUCAGCCUGUUUUAUACUGGGUACUUUACUUUAAUGGAGUCUUUGAAAGACUUGUUUUAUAUCUAUAAAUCUAGGUUACUACAAAUAGGAGAUUUUUGUACCUUAAAUAAGCCUCAUUUCUAGUCUCCAUCAACUCUCCAUCCAGUCCUGAAAGUAAGUCUGCCCCGAGAGAGGACCGCUGAAGUCACUGUGUGUCCCCUCUUGCCUCAGCUGGGGACGGCAGGAGGACCCUUCCUGCCUGUGAUUGUUUUUUCCCUUUUGUCCCAUUAUGCCUGUCCCAUGUGACCCAGGCAAGAGGGCAGAGUUGCCCAUCCUCUCGCCAGUCCCUCCUAAGGGGAGCAGAGGGGAAACUUCAAGGAGACUGAAAACUGUUUCAGAGAUGGCAGCUCAGCAUGCCGUAAUGAUGGGGAUAUCUGUGGAUGCCCAUAGCUAAGCUACAGUAGGUGAGGCGCGCGCGCGCACGGUGACCGCUCUCUGCAAAAGGCCUGAAUUGCAGCCAGUUGUAUCCUGGUUGAAAGUCUCAGAUCCAAAUACUCACUGAGCACAGAUUUCUCAUCUGGGGGUGAGUAGAAGCUAACAGAGGAGGCCCAGACACUUAGCUAUAGACGCUAUACCUCCCGUCUGACACCCCCCAGAGGUUUUUCAGGAAUCUCACGAGAGUCACGCAGAGAUGUCCCUUACCACACUGAAGUCCCCGCAGACAGGGUUAGGCAUCAAAGUACCUGCCACCAUGCUCCUGGGGAAGAAAGAAAAUCUGUUUUCUGCAUUGCUUCGCUUGUUCUCAUACUGCUCCAGAGUUCUGUCCUCCUCGUUCAGGCAGCUGACCACAGGUCCUAGACAGGAAAAAGGGUAAAAACCCACAGCCGCCUCUACCCUUUGCCCUAACGCCUCCCAUGUCACAAGAAAUGACCACCUUUGUAGCUCUGUUUGUACUGUUUAAAAAAUACAUCAGUUUAGUUUGCAAGCUGCACCCCCCCCCCUUGCUGGUGUCCCCCUUAUCCUGUAACAGUUCAGUUUUACAUUUGCAAAGUGAAUCCAAAAACGCACUAACUCUGGGAUGUGUUGCGAUUUUUGUUUGUUUGUUUGGACCUCUGGAUUUUGUGUUGGUAAAACUAAUGUAUUAUUUGCAGCAUAUUUAUUUGCAGGAAGCACAUUGCUGUUGAUCUCUGUGAUAUGUGGGUUUCUUUUUUUUUUUAAACCCUCUUUGUGUACCUGAGUUUGUUUGAAUAUAAGGGAUCUUACUGUCAUUUGUUAGGUACCACUGAGUAAUUCCAUAGUUUCUGUGGUAAUUCACUGUAGAGUGGACUGUUCUCGCUCUCGUUCAGAAUAACUGGCAGCCAAAACAUUACCUGUAUCACAGAUGUUAAGUAGCACUCAACAGCACAGUCAAAUGUAACAGGUACUUUUCUGCUAAAUUAGUAGACUCAAGCAUAGUAGGCCUUCGCCGAGGGAAACCGAGUUUCCCUUCAGCACACAGGCUCUCCACACUGUUGACCCAGGGCCAGUUUCAUACUUUGGGUUUAGCACUGUUCUCUGGUUCUUGUAACACAGAAUACUGUAGAUUCCUAGAUUAGUGUUGCUUGUUAGAAGUAGAGUUUGCAGAGUGUGUGCAGGUAAGAAAACCUACUCUUUUAGGCCUGGACUAGGCCUGGUCACAGGGAGACCAUAUUCCAAAGCUCUGUAACCCGGAAUGGAUUUUUCUUCAUUGGAUUAGAUGUGGGGGUUAGGCCCCCAGGCAGCUGGAAAAGAAUGUGGAGCUGUAAUGGAGUGACAGGACUGUGGAAGAGCCAAGUUCCCAGAGAGACUGGAGGUGGGGUAUGUUGGAAUCACUAGGAAUACCCCCACUGCAUCUCUGCCACGGGUCACCUGCUGGGUAGUGGGGUCAGGGCUCCACCACAGUGGCCUGUAGCAAAGCCCCCCCCCCCAAGACUAGAGAGGCUAAGUUCAAAACCCUGAGUGUAGGUGGUGGUCAAAGAAGAGGAGUUCUUAGGGCUCCCCUCCUUGCCUGCAGUUUUAACUUUAUAGCUCUCCCAGGUACCAGCUUUGGGGCCAGCACACGGCACUCUCAUUGUCUCCCGUGCUGGUAACCAUGGCUUCACUGCUUGGUGAUCAGGUGAAAAGUACAAAGGCUCUCGCUCCUUCCUGAGUACUUAUGGACCCUGCUGAGGGACAUAAGGGCGUCAGGGUGGCUUGCAGAGGACUAAGGUCUGUGGUGGGAUGCCUCACUAUAACAAUAAUUAUGCCAAGCAUUCAAGCCCUCAAGCUGGUGUUUCUCAAACUGUGCACCCUCAAGGCAGCAGCAUGAACCUCAUCUACAGACUUAACCAGCAAAGUGUCAGCCUCACCAGACUCAGUGGAUAAAUCGAGCUGUCCUCAGCAAGUCUCAGGUCUAGCCUCCAGGUGAGACCUGUGAUUUCAAGCUUGGGUACCACUCUAAGCUUUCUCCGGUCAGCCCAUCCUCGGAAGGCGAUUGGUUCCCGGGGUGAGGAAUGAGAGCCAGGUAGGGUAGGAAAGGACCCCAGCCAGUGUGUGCAGGUUCAGGAAAGGGAGGGCGUCGUGUGCAGCCCCUACUACCUGUGUUCUUUCCUGCUGCCAAUGCAUUGCAGAGUUGUGAGUGGAUCUUGGGGGUGCUCACACUUUAGGGAACCCAGCCCGAGGCACUAGUCUUAUUUUCUUGCAGCUGCGAAGAUUCCAAUUGAGGCUUUCAGAAAAUGUAGGUAAAUUUUUAAAAAUGCCUUUUGUAAAUGCGGUCCUGAAGGCACUGCUGAGUUUUCAGGGGACCGUGUCCAUGGUGGGGUAGAAUUCAGUCCCGGCGCUGCAAAAUAGAAAAUAUUGAUACGCGGAGUGUUCUAGUACCAGGUCUGUACUGCUGAGGGAGCUUCGAGGGGAGCCGAGCCUGGUCCGUCUUGGGAGUACAGUGUGAAGCGACAUCGUUGGACUAGGGCAGCGUGGGGAGGUGUGAUCGUCUGUGUGGUUUAUACUUGAGAGCAGAGCCUCCAUUAGUCCGAUUAGAACCAGCGAGGCUUUGAGAAUGGUACUGCCUAUUCAAGGGAGCAUCCAGGCACUCUUAGUUUGCAAUGUUACAAUGUUUCUCUCUCAGGACCGCAGGUCUGAGACUCCUUCUGAAACAGAAAGUUGUCCUCUAAAACGCAGUGAAUUGCUGGUAAUACUAAAAGACUUAGGGCUUCAGGUGGGGUUGGGGUUAAUGACUGAAAGCAAUGCUAAGUCUGAAGGGGUGGGUCCGUGGGGAACAAAGCUGCUUUCCAAGGGACGCAGGUGUUUUAGGACUUUCCCGAGGAAGAACCACAAAGCACCGGGCCUAUCUGUACACAGGCUUGAAGAAUCUAUGCAGCAGAGGCUCACUUUAGGAAUCCUUCCUUUGUAUGUAAAUAUGUUGUAAAUACAUAGGAGGCUGUAUAUUUUUGCAGGUGAAAUAGAGGUCACUAGUAUUCUGCAUAUAAGAAAUCCAUGUUCUCAGAUAUGUUAGUGGAUUUGUUUGGGAGGUAGAAGAAUUUUACCUUCUUUCCCAUAGUUCUGUCAAUGUAAAUCUGGAGUCUAAAACCUUAAUUGUUUGGGGGGAAAUAAAAAGAACUGUCUGGGGAAAAAACUACUCUGAUUCCUUAUGCUGGUACUACUAUCUGUUGUCUAAAUGCUACAGAUAAAGAUGAUUUAGGGGAAAAAAUCAUUGUCAUAUAGAAACAGACGUGCCCAAAAUAAGAAUUUUUCUCUGCAUUACGUUUUUUCACUGUUAACGUUGAUGCUAUUGCAUAGAGUUUGUGAAAAUCAAAGUUAGGGAGGGUUUGGUUUUGUUUUUUUUUUCCAAAAUGGAAUUGCUGUUUCCCAAACUUUGGGAUCCUUGAAGGGAGAGCUGAACAUUAAUAUGAGCACGUAUUUGAAGGAGAACAUGUGUUAUUUUUAAGCCUUUGAAGGUCUUGCAUGUCUGCCUUUUAGUGUUGAUGCCAACCUAGACUGUCUCGUCUGUUUCCCCCCUCCCCCACACACUUAAAUCAUACUCGUCGGUACGCAGUGCAGUCUCUAGAGUCCAGUGUGUCUUAGAUCCCCAUCUGACUCAGUACAUGUAGCACACCACUAUUUUACUAAUGUAAAAACCUUGUAAGUGAUUUCGGGUGGGCAUCCAAAGUGAACCACAGGUAACAAAACCUGCCCGUUCACUGUCCGUCACAUAAAGUUGGGUAUUUUUUUUUCCUUCAGGGUGUGGUAUAAAUAAAAAAAAAUGUAAGAAAUUAUGUUCUAUAAAUGCAGUGUUAACAUAGUUUUCAAACAUUAAAAUGUGAAUUAAAGUA
Mus musculus (house mouse) is the source of this 10592-nucleotide RNA transcript. It is a transcript of the gene named solute carrier family 38, member 1, with no coding region annotated. The transcript has 16 exons. Lineage: Eukaryota; Metazoa; Chordata; Mammalia; Rodentia; Muridae. The record is from RefSeq and is marked validated.